RNAcentral lists this unclassified non-coding RNA (224 nucleotides) under Hevea brasiliensis (rubber tree). The record is from RNAcentral. Lineage: Eukaryota; Viridiplantae; Streptophyta; Magnoliopsida; Malpighiales; Euphorbiaceae.
GGACACUAGUAGUGCUAGUGGCCAUAAGGAAAGGGAAGUCGGUGAGGUAAGGGUUUUUGUCAAGCCUCAUGUGUCACCAUGCUGCCAUGUUACACAAAUCAAUUGAAGAAAGCUAUGCCAUUUUGGAAGGGUUAAUCACAACUAAUGGAGGGUAGGGAGAGAGGUAAUGAGUGGGGAGAGCCCAGAAUAGCAAAGAAUCAAGGGUGAUGACGUCAAGAGGCGUG